UCAAAAGUCUUCAGUCUCUUUCAACCUUUCACGGUGAUUAGAGGCUAGGGAAUGUGUGCGCCAGGGGACGUACCCAGGCAGUGAAGACUAGAGUGAAGUGAGAGUCAUCUUCAGCUUGUUUUCAGUGUUUGUGGGGAUACUUUAUGCACCCUUAAGUUCUUAAACACCCAAUGUAACAUGCUGGUUGGUCGUAUAACAUAGUUACAAGGUGUACGGUAGUGUCGCUGGGCGAUCUUUCGAUACUAAUUCUUUUUGUUUCAGCGUUUGUUUACAUCAAUUCGGCAUUUUCCGUAAGGGAAGAGUUUCUUUGCUCUAUUAAGCAGCAAACAGCAGGGACAAAGAAAAAAAGCAAACAUAAACACACUCUCUCUCUCUCUUUCCCUCUCCCUUAAAAACAUAUGUCAGUUAUCUCUCUCUCUCUCUUUCUAUAUAUGCAUAUAUCCAUACAUAUAUGUACAUACCUACAUCUAUAUGUAUACAUAUGGGUACAGGGCAUCACAACACAAAAAAAAACGUUAAACUAUAUAUAUAUAUGUACACACACACACACACACACACACACACACACACACAUAUAUAUAUACAUACAUACAUAUAUACACACCAAACUUUAUAUCAUUACCUCUCUCCCUCUCUCUCUAUAUAUACAUACAGAUAGUGAGAUAGAGAGAGAGUAUGUUUAUGUUUGCUUUUUUUCUUUUUCCUUGUUUGCUGCUUACCACAGCAAGUCUUAGCAUACCAACAUCAAAAGAAAUCGCGCCCUCUAUCUCUUUCGCGUCCUUUCCAUCUUCCCUUACGAAAACUGCCGAAUUGAUGUAAACAAUCCCAUGUGGUCGCUUUGGCAGUUACCAAAUUAGUAUCGAAGGUAUGCCUAACCGUAUGAACUUUUAGCCAGGCGAUUCCAGUGCAGGAAACCUGGGGGGCCCAACCAGAAGCAUUCCUCACUCACCGUACAUUCCCGCAGAAUAAUUUAUCCUAAAUAAUUCUGUGACAGCAAAGAGAAAUAACAAUAACGUUAAAUAACAAACAAAAUGAUAAACAGGAAAUGAUUAUCACUUAAAUAAUUCAUGCGUAUAUCAACAGAAUAUAAUUAUGAAUAUGAACUGCAAAAUGUCUUAUGGUUAAGCUGGUUCCCAUGCAUUUCCCUGAAGAGAAGAUUAGUUUCUUAUCAACAUCAUCUAUUCCUAUGGAAGGUAUAAUUUGUAAUCUUCGAAACAUAUGUUGGAAAUAAAAGAAUUCAUUUAA
Molecule: long non-coding RNA, 1245 nt
Organism: Octopus bimaculoides (California two-spot octopus)
Lineage: Eukaryota; Metazoa; Mollusca; Cephalopoda; Octopoda; Octopodidae
Source: RefSeq, a predicted model, not a curated record